Molecule: ribosomal RNA, 253 nt
Filed under: uncultured bacterium
Lineage: Bacteria
Description: partial 16S ribosomal RNA
Rfam family: Bacterial small subunit ribosomal RNA
Source: RNAcentral
UACGUAGGGUGCAAGCGUUGUCCGGAAUUACUGGGCGUAAAGCGCACGUAGGCGGACAUUUAAGUCAGGGGUGAAAUCCCGGGGCUCAACCCCGGAACUGCCUUUGAUACUGCAAAUCUCGAGUCCGGAAGAGGUGAGUGGAAUUCCUAGUGUAGAGGUGAAAUUCGUAGAUAUUAGGAAGAACACCAGUGGCGAAGGCGGCUCACUGGUCCGGUACUGACGCUGAGGUGCGAAAGCGUGGGGAGCAAACAGG